This 490-nucleotide ribosomal RNA is filed under the name uncultured bacterium. RNAcentral describes it as "partial 16S ribosomal RNA". It matches the Rfam family "Bacterial small subunit ribosomal RNA", at positions 30 to 507 of the family's 1533-position model. The record is from RNAcentral.
AUUGAACGCUGGCGGCAUGCCUUACACAUGCAAGUCGAACGGCAGCAUGAUCUAGCUUGCUAGAUUGAUGGCGAGUGGCGAACGGGUGAGUAAUACAUCGGAACGUGCCCUGUAGUGGGGGAUAACUAGUCGAAAGAUUAGCUAAUACCGCAUACGACCUGAGGGUGAAAGUGGGGGACCGCAAGGCCUCAUGCUAUAGGAGCGGCCGAUGUCUGAUUAGCUAGUUGGUGAGGUAAAGGCUCACCAAGGCGACGAUCAGUAGCUGGUCUGAGAGGCCGACCAGCCACACUGGGACUGAGACACGGCCCAGACUCCUACGGGGGGCAGCAGUGGGGAAUUUUGGACAAUGGGCGAAAGCCUGAUCCAGCAAUGCCGCGUGUGUGAAGAAGGCCUUCGGGUUGUAAAGCACUUUUGUCCGGAGAGAAAUGGCUCUGGUUAAUACCUGGGGUCGAUGACGGUACCGGAAGAAUAAGGACCGGCUAACUACGUG